RNAcentral lists this ribosomal RNA (252 nucleotides) under uncultured bacterium. RNAcentral describes it as "partial 16S ribosomal RNA". It matches the Rfam family "Bacterial small subunit ribosomal RNA", at positions 524 to 776 of the family's 1533-position model. The record is from RNAcentral.
UACAGAGGGGGCAAGCGUUAUUCGGAAUUAUUGGGCGUAAAGGGCGCGUAGGCGGCCUGGCAAGUGGAAGGUGAAAUCCCUCGGCUUAACCGAGGAACUGCCCUCCAAACUGCUUGGCUUGAGUCCGGGAGAGGUGAGUGGAAUUCCCAGUGUAGCGGUGAAAUGCGCAGAUAUCAGGAGGAACACCGGUGGCGAAGGCGGGUCUCUGGGCCGAUAUUGACGUGAGGAGCGAAAGCGUGGGGAGCGAACAGG